GUGUUGGGGUUCUUAGGGAUUGGCUUGUUUUUGGCCUUGUUUUGAAAUGGGAUUAGCUUGAUUUUUGGCUUAUUGUGAAAGUCAGGGUGCUUAUUUACUGCAUGGAAUUGGGAACUAUGAUAUAUAUUUGGGCAGAAUUUGUAUGAAUUUGUAUUAUUGGUGGUGAUGCAGGAGUCAGGAAUAACACAUCUUGAUUUUCAUACCCUUGGAUACAUUUGCAAGCCUGUCAGGUAGAAAAAUAGUCUCUCUUUUUUAUUUGUGGACUUAGCAAAUUUGAUCUAGAAAUCGCUAUGUGACAGUAAACAUGGAAUUCAGUGAAGUGUUAGUAAUUGUUUUAAAAGUUUCUCCAAACUAAAAUGUAUAAAAGUAAGUAUUUAUAAGACUAAUAGAAAUUUCUAGAAAUUUGUUUUAAAAAUUCCAGUGCAAUCAUUUGUUUUAAACAAAUAAACGUUUCUCUACCAUAGUUGAAACCUAAACAUUGCAGCAUUAGGAAUCUGAAAGUGAAACUGAUUUCAUUGAUUUUUAUUGUCUGAGUUGCAAGAGAUGCACAAAGUAAACAAGAACAUAAAUAAAAAUAAACAACUGGAUUUUAAAUAUGAUUUCACUUUUUAUAAUUGAAAGGGUUUAGUAAUGUGAUUUAAAGAAACUUGUUUACAAUGUAUGAGUUCUAAAUCAUCAAUGUCCCUGUCAAGCAUGUUGAUAUUAUGGAAACUACUUGUGAAUGAAGCAAGUAGAAUCUGACCUUGUAUAUUUAAGAGAAAACUUUACCUCAUACUCCUCAUUCCAUGAAUAAGGUCACUUUAAUUAAAAACAAAAUAUUAAAAGACAUAAUACUGGGAUCUGCUUUGCAAAUACCUUGUUUGCACUUAAUUCUUCGAGCAAAAUCUCAACACACAAAUCCAAUAGAUUAUACCCCUGUAGAUCAUUCACAUAAUUUAGCUAACCCAUUCUAUUCCACCUUUGUUAGAAACGAGGUAGAGAAUGUAAUCUACUACAAAGGCUUUUGGGAAGCAUUCUUUACCGACAUCCCCAGGCAGUUCUAAUAGGUAAGACUUGUUUAGUUUCCUGGAAAAUGUACCAGUUAUGGAAAUGUUAUUCCUCAAAUCACGGUUAUCCUGAAUCGGAUAAUCAUUUAGCAAAAGUAACAAAGGGAUAUAUUUAAAGUUAACACAGGCUAUUUUUUAUAUUUUUAAACUUGUCAAUUUUUUUUUCUUUAGAUGCUUUCCAUUCCCAUUUUAAAAAUCUUCUAACGGUAGUGAGCUACAAAUUAAAUUAACUAACUAUUAAAUUUGUUAGUCUCUAAGGUGCCACAAGUACUCCUUUUCUUUUUGCGAAUACAGACUAACACGGCUGCUACUCUGAAACCUAUAAAAACCUUCAGUGGUCCUGAAUGAUUGUCUCAUACAGUUGAGCAAAACAGCAUGAUUGCUUUAAAAGUAUUCUUGUUAUCUGAACCCUUAAUGAUACAUAUACUUCAGGUAAAAGAGAAGUUUUAUUUCAGUUAUGUUCAAGUAGUAUUACAUAUUUCUAUGUAAUGUUGACUGCCCAUCAAGAAAAAAACAAAUCCUCAAAAGCCAUAUAUGUGUAAGUGAUAAAAGGGACAUUGGUGUUUUUAAAAAAACAAAACUUUUUAUCCUUCAUUUUUUCCCUUUUAUAUUUGAUCUCUAUUUUCUCACAUCUAUAAGCUCCCUUAAACUUCACCAUUGCUCUAGUGGGGUAGCUCUGAUAGUUGUUUUCAAUGAUCUGAAAUUUCUACUCUCUGUUAUGAGAGCUGUAAUUAGCAAGGGAAAAGUUUGAUUUGACCUUGAAGAAAUAGGGCAUAGACCAUUGAAAUUCAGUAGCAAAACUCCGGCAGUGGGAGCAGAAUUGGGCCAGGUCAUCCUUAAAAACUUUGUUCCAAUAUUUCAGGUUUUUAUUACUAAUCUGAUCACCAGUGUUGUUACUAUAAAAUAUUCCCUGAAAAGCUUCUGUCACUCAAAGGGAAAGGGACACUGUUUUAAUUAUUUUAGCCCUGAGCAUCUCCUACUGCAGAGAGGAGAAAAAUUGUGGAAAAAGCUGCAGUGAGAGAGAAGGUGGAGGAGAAAGUGGUUUGAAAGAAUCCUGUGUAGUUGUUUUUUGUCCUGUCUGCAAAAAAUUGUGCAGCCUCUUGGUCCUGUGAAGAAAGGAAGUGAAUCUGUGGGAAGGUUUUUCACUAAGAACAAGAACUGCAGUAAAAGUUUUGGAAAAUAAAGGCUGCUUGAUUUAUAAAUGCUCCUUCUUCCCUCUAGCACACACUGUAAUCCCCUCAGAAAAUAUGCUCAGGCUUUGCAUCUAUUCAAUGUGAUAUAGAUGUCUGGGUUCAGGCUGCAGCCUGAGCUUUGGGACUCUUCCCACCUCGCAGGGUUCUAAACCCAGGCUCCAACCGAAGCCCAAAAGUUGACACUGCAGUGAGUCACGUGCUAUGGGCCAGCUGGAGGUUUUUAAUUGCAGUGGAGACAUACCCAGAGACCUCAAAGAGCACAGCGUUGGGCUAGCCAGCAGAGGCAAUUGGUCACAGCCUGGACAUGUUGCCAUGGCUGCUGGGUGCAGGUUAGAGGGGAAGGUGGAAGGAGAAUUCUCUGUGGGCGACAUGGAAACUUGUGAUUCUCUGGCCUCCACUGCAUUUUUUGUCCCCACCCUCUGCCUGCUGUACAUCCCUGCCAGUUCUCUGGACCGAUAAGGAGACCAGUAAAGGGGACCGUAUACCAGCUCUUGACAGCAGCUGUUCUUCAAUGAACUUUUUGUAUACAUUUGAGAAAGUAUGGUCUGUGGGUAGGUCACAGAGUUUGAUCUACAUGUGAGAGUAAUGUUAGCAUAGCUACAUCGGUCAGGGGUGUGAAAAAACCACACCCCUGACUGUCAUAGCUAUGCUGACAUAAUACCCAGUGUAGAUGCAGCUGUAUCAGUGGAAGAGUGCUUCUGUUGAUGUAGCUAACUUUUUUGGGGAAGGUGGUGUUUCUACAUCAACAGAAAAACCCUUUAUGUUGUUGUAGACUGCAUCUACGCUGUGGUGUUAUGUCUCCAUUGUCUCCAUAAAAAGGAAAGGAGUACUUGUGGCACCUUAGAGACUAAUA
Long non-coding RNA from Dermochelys coriacea (leatherback sea turtle), 3092 nucleotides. RefSeq lists it as uncharacterized. NCBI's taxonomy places the organism in Eukaryota, Metazoa, Chordata, Testudines, Dermochelyidae. The record is from RefSeq and is a predicted model, not a curated record. The transcript is spliced from 3 exons.